UCUAGUGACCGAUAGUGAACCAGUACCGUGAGGGAAAGGUGAAAAGCACCCCGGAAGGGGAGUGAAAUAGAACCUGAAACCGUGUGCUUACAAGUAGUCAGAGCCCGUUAAUGGGUGAUGGCGUGCCUUUUGUAGAAUGAACCGGCGAGUUACGAUUUGAUGCAAGGUUAAGCAGUAAAUGUGGAGCCGUAGCGAAAGCGAGUCUGAAUAGGGCGUUUAGUAUUUGGUCGUAGACCCGAAACCAGGUGAUCUACCCUUGGUCAGGUUGAAGUUCAGGUAACACUGAAUGGAGGACCGAACCGACUUACGUUGAAAAGUGAGCGGAUGAACUGAGGGUAGCGGAGAAAUUCCAAUCGAACCUGGAGAUAGCUGGUUCUCUCCGAAAUAGCUUUAGGGCUAGCCUCAAGUGAUGAUUAUUGGAGGUAGAGCACUGUUUGGACGAGGGGCCCCUCUCGGGUUACCGAAUUCAGACAAACUCCGAAUGCCAAUUAAUUUAACUUGGGAGUCAGAACAUGGGUGAUAAGGUCCGUGUUCGAAAGGGAAACAGCCCAGACCACCAGCUAAGGUCCCAAAAUAUAUGUUAAGUGGAAAAGGAUGUGGCGUUGCCCAGACAACUAGGAUGUUGGCUUAGAAGCAGCCAUCAUUUAAAGAGUGCGUAAUAGCUCACUAGUCGAGUGACACUGCGCCGAAAAUGUACCGGGGCUAAACAUAUUACCGAAGCUGUGGAUUGUCCUUUGGACAAUGGUAGGAGAGCGUUCUAAGGGCGUUGAAGCAUGAUCGUAAGGACAUGUGGAGCGCUUAGAAGUGAGAAUGCCGGUGUGAGUAGCGAAAGACGGGUGAGAAUCCCGUCCACCGAUUGACUAAGGUUUCCAGAGGAAGGCUCGUCCGCUCUGGGUUAGUCGGGUCCUAAGCUGAGGCCGACAGGCGUAGGCGAUGGAUAACAGGUUGAUAUUCCUGUACCACCUAUAAUCGUUUUAAUCGAUGGGGGGACGCAGUAGGAUAGGCGAAGCGUGCGAUUGGAUUGCACGUCUAAGCAGUAAGGCUGAGUAUUAGGCAAAUCCGGUACUCGUUAAGGCUGAGCUGUGAUGGGGAGAAGACAUUGUGUCUUCGAGUCGUUGAUUUCACACUGCCGAGAAAAGCCUCUAGAUAGAAAAUAGGUGCCCGUACCGCAAACCGACACAGGUAGUCAAGAUGAGAAUUCUAAGGUGAGCGAGCGAACUCUCGUUAAGGAACUCGGCAAAAUGACCCCGUAACUUCGGGAGAAGGGGUGCUCUUUAGGGUUAACGCCCAGAAGAGCCGCAGUGAAUAGGCCCAAGCGACUGUUUAUCAAAAACACAGGUCUCUGCUAAACCGUAAGGUGAUGUAUAGGGGCUGACGCCUGCCCGGUGCUGGAAGGUUAAGAGGAGUGGUUAGCUUCUGCGAAGCUACGAAUCGAAGCCCCAGUAAACGGCGGCCGUAACUAUAACGGUCCUAAGGUAGCGAAAUUCCUUGUCGGGUAAGUUCCGACCCGCACGAAAGGCGUAACGAUUUGGGCACUGUCUCAACGAGAGACUCGGUGAAAUCAUAGUACCUGUGAAGAUGCAGGUUACCCGCGACAGGACGGAAAGACCCCG
Molecule: ribosomal RNA, 1613 nt
Filed under: Staphylococcus aureus
Lineage: Bacteria; Bacillati; Bacillota; Bacilli; Caryophanales; Staphylococcaceae
Description: partial 23S ribosomal RNA
Rfam family: Bacterial large subunit ribosomal RNA
Source: RNAcentral